UGUGUAGGUGGCGCCGUAAGUCGGGUGUGAAAUUUCGGAGCUUAACUCCGAAACUGCAUUCGAUACUGCGGUGCUUGAGGACUGGAGAGGAGACUGGAAUUCAUGGUGUAGCAGUGAAAUGCGUAGAGAUCAUGAGGAAGACCAGUGGCGAAGGCGGGUCUCUGGACAGUUCCUGACACUGAGACACGAAGCCAGGGGAGCAAACG
RNAcentral lists this ribosomal RNA (206 nucleotides) under uncultured bacterium. RNAcentral describes it as "partial 16S ribosomal RNA". It matches the Rfam family "Bacterial small subunit ribosomal RNA", at positions 568 to 774 of the family's 1533-position model. The record is from RNAcentral.